This is a long non-coding RNA of Cucumis melo (muskmelon), 2315 nucleotides long. RefSeq lists it as uncharacterized. The transcript is spliced from 2 exons. NCBI's taxonomy places the organism in Eukaryota, Viridiplantae, Streptophyta, Magnoliopsida, Cucurbitales, Cucurbitaceae. The record is from RefSeq and is a predicted model, not a curated record.
UUUUCAUUUUCUGAAAGCUAUUUCAUUUUCGAACAAAUUUUAUGAAGAGAGUUUAAGCAAAUUCUGAGGUUUAUUGGGUGAUUUUCACACAAAAGACAAAGCAAGUGUUUUCAUGCGAAAUCAGGAGGUCUCUGGUUUUUCUUGUAUUUCGGAGUGUACCGGUGGAAUUAGGAUCUCUAUUUAUUAUGGUUGGAAAGCUUAUUCAAUUUACUACAACUUUUAUGAAGAAAUUGUGAACUAAAUAUGAUUGGAAGUAAGCUUAAUUUCAUAAACAAGUCAGGGGAUAGCAGAAGACUCCGUUUUUGAACACUCUCUGUUUCGGGCCAAUUCUGUAGCAAUCUGUUGGGAAUCGUAUUUUCCUUCAUUCAUAUAAUUUAUAGAGGACAUCAAAAUGAAGAUUUUGACAUAAAUAACACUCAUUUUGGUUAAGUAUUGGAAGAGUUAUGAUCAUUUGAAGUUCAUGUUGCGAAUCUGGAAAAUUUUGAGAAAUGUGUUGUCGAGGUGAUUUUGAUAUGGUUUAAAUAAAUUUUAGUGGGUUCUCUCAUGUUUGGGUGCUUGUGGCAUUAAGAGUUUAAGUUGAAGUUUAAGGGUCAAAAUAGCCUAAAGUAAACCAUUUGGGGGAUUGUUCAAUCUAAAUCUUAGAAGUACUUAAGGUUGUUGGUCCCUUGUUGAUAUAAUGGACAUAAAUCCACAUAAACGAUCCAUUGAGCUUGUUGUAUCUACAUAAAAGACCCGUUGAAUUUGAACUAACUUGGAUGCUCAUGGGGUUAAGUAUCUAGAUUUCAAGUCCAAGGGUUCGUAGGUGAAAGGCUUAGUCUAAUCCUAAGCGCUUUGACAAAUUGAGGACCUUAGAAACAUAAAAUAGAUCUAGGUGGCCUUAUGAAGUUUAAAGUUAGUUGGUUCAUGUUGACAUAGUCGAUUUAAAUCUAAAUAUCUAAAUUUGAAGUUUAAAGGUUUGAAGUGGAUUUUUAGUCUAGUCCAAGAAGAUUUGAGAAUGUAAGGACUCAACAAAUGUAAAAUAGUUUGAAUGCUCGUAAUGAAGUAAUUUUAGAGAUUAUUGUGUUGUCUUGCUAAGUGAAGACAAUGAUGUGACCUUGAACGUUGUUUAAGGCCAAAUUGAAGUGGGGAAAGCGUAAAAUCCCGGGGGAUCGAGUAAUUGAUUGUGAGUGGUUAUUUUCAAAUAUUUUCGUUAUAAAUUUAUAUAUGUUAUUAUAGUACGUUGUAAUUGUGACGAUUACUUGUAUGAUUGUUUUAUGAUCUAUAUGUCAAAAGUGUUUUCAAAUAUGAAUUUCGGUAUUCCAUGAACUCUUGUACUUCAGAAUUGUGGUUGAAACCAACUUUACUAAAUAAGUUCUAGAUGACAACUGAUUUCUAAAAUCUUCAUUGAUUUAUAACUAGAUUUAAAUAAGUUCUAAAAGUAUGUAUUGAUGGCAAAAGAUCAAAAAUGAUGUGAAAAUGAGUUUCUAACUAUGUUUGGUUUUAAACUUGAAUUAUGUGAUAUUAUGGAUGUUGGUGAUUACCCUUAAGGCUACGUGAAUGUGUUUCCGUAGCGCCACCUACAGUUGUCAGGGGAUUCCGGGACUGAAAGAGGCUGUGACUGGAGAUCCGAGAACCUGAGCCUAGGUGAGGACAUGGAUAGAGGAUUGUGACAUGGCUUCAGGCCUAGCUUAACCCAUGGUUGGGUGGCUCUAUGUGCACAUAGGAGCGGUAUGUUGUUACCGUGGUAGGUGCUAAGUAUGUGUGAGCUCCGUUUGGCCGCGUGUUUCCUUGUGGAUUGGAUCACAUGUGAGCUAUCCUUGGGUCGUAUGCUUAGUAUGUUAUCAUGGAUGGAUUGGAUUGGUUGGAUUGGAUUGGUUGAAUCGGAUUGGAUGGAGGUUGUUAUCGUGGUGGGUACUAAAUAUGUGUGAGCUAGUUUUGGUCGCAUGAUUUUUAGUCAUGUGCGAACUAUCUUUGGCCGUAUAUUUAGAUGCCUUUCCAUGGUUGGUUUGGAUACAGAUUUGUUGGCCUUACUUAUGAUUUAUGGUAACGGUUAAGGACUAAGCAUUGGUUGUGCUUUCCUGGCGGUGGUUGUAGUAUCUCAUUGUGUAUUAUAUACUUAUGCAUUCUAUUGUAUUAUUGGGUUAUUAGAAGAAAUGAGAGUCAUGAUGAGAAUUUGAGUCAGAGAGAUCUUUUAUUAAAUUGUAAUUCCUUUGUAACUAGUUUGUAGUUGAAUAUAAACUUUGUUUGGGAUUCUGGAUUAUGUUGGAUGAGUGUGUGGUGAGAGACACUCGAGGAUAAUUGAGUUUUGAAAAGUAUAGAAGUGUGUCUUUCUUCUA